GUGCUAUGACUUGAUAUUUCAAAAGAAGGGAAAUAGAUGUCUCAGUAUUAAAUUUCAAACGGGAAGUUUAACCUGUAUAUUGGCUUAUUUAGGGUAAGAGUGAAGCUAUCCUGGACAAGAACUUUGACAGGACAAUACUAUUCACUCUGAAGGACCAAAAAAUGAGCAGAAAAUUUGGGAUAAAUGUCAACAAGAUUUGAACCCUAAAGAAAAGCAAGCAUCGAGUUAGACAGACGUCCAUAUUCAUUCAACUGGGAAAAUAAAACUGCAGUCCCAACAUCAGAAUUUCCUUGGUCAGUUGGUUAUUGCGGGACAGCAUUCUUCUGCAUGACAGUAUUGUCUCCUUACCAGCCACAGAGGAGGCUGUGAGAGAGAGGAUUUGGGAAAUUGGUGCAAAUGAGAAAUCUUGGAAAUCUAGAACUAAAGCCUUUCAGCAGGAAAUCCAGAUGCUCACUAAGUGACUAGAGCAGCUGCAUCAUCUUUAAGAAGAAGGUGCUCAAGAAUCAUCCCAAGCUGAAGAAAAAAGUAUUGGGAACAAAAAAGACCCUUGAAAUGUCUAGAAAGAAAAAUUGAGAUCAAGGACUUUUUCAAGAGAGAUUAGAC
This 603-nucleotide long non-coding RNA is filed under the name Homo sapiens (human). RNAcentral's name for it is "non-protein coding lnc-ESR2-3:3". The record is from RNAcentral. Lineage: Eukaryota; Metazoa; Chordata; Mammalia; Primates; Hominidae.